AAAUAAAGUUAUCUCACCUGGCAUUCAUUACAGAGAAAACAAGAAAUAAGGCACUACAUGUCAUAUUUGUCUAGAUCCUAUACCUAUUUAGGUUCACAUUAAAAUGAAGAGAAAACAACAUAGGCUGAGAAUCAGAAAACCUGAACUCUGUCCCAGCUCAGCCACUGGCCACAGGGAAUUAACCAAUCUCUUUGAACGUCAGUUUCUUCAUUAAGCAUCGUAGAGAAUGUCAAAACCAACUUUAUAAAUACUGUCAUUCCAAAACCACACAAUUCAAAUAUAAAUAAUCUUUAUAAGGUAAAACAAAAAUGUACAUAAUACUUUACAUAAACAUUUUUAGAAUAAGUUUAUUAUAACUCGAUAAGCAAAAUAAUCCAAACCUUUAUACAUUUCUACAAGGAUAGUCACGUAUGUCAAUUUUUCGGUUUCCUCUCGUGCCUAUUUUGUCUCCUGAGCCGGCCCCUUUCCAGCUGACACGUGUGCUCCGUGUUCUCCCACAAUAGCCUGACCUGGCCUGAGUCCACGCCCCUGUGAGCCUCCUUUCUUUGCUUACAACAGCAGCCUGCCUGAUGUCAGUUAUGGACUAUUCUUUCUUUCAGCCUCAUUUCAGGGUCCUCUGCCUCUUAGAGCUGCUGCUGUAGCUUAGCUAGAGACCCGCUGCUGUUGCAUCAUGGAAAAGUGCCACAUACGUGCACAUGUGAAAGAAUACGCAGACCUUCAUGUUGGGUUUUAGUUUUAGAAAAAGUCAGAAGUAGCUUCACUUGAUUUCAGCUUGUAAAGACAUAGGAGGGAGGCAACUGAGAAUCACCGUUGCAAAAAGCAAACAUCAAAAAUCACAUUAAAAUGCUGAAGUGUUGUGGAGCACAAACCUAGCUUUAUUGGAUCAAGCAUUCGUGAGAGUUCUUCUACUUGCUUUGUUAUGCUUUCUAUCAGACAGGGCUCAUUCUCUGUCUUUUUUUUUAACAUAUUCAUUUUUUCCUUUGGUCUGUUUAGAUUAUUAUCACAUCUUAUGUUUUAAAACUAGCAAAAUAUUAUGUGUAAGUCAUGAACACAGUGUAAGAAAUAAUAAAAUGAACACUGAUGUACACAUUACCUGCUUAAGAAUCAAAAACUACCCAUAUUUUUAGAGUCCUUAACACUGUCCUGUUAAUUAGUCCCAUUUCUUGCCUUUAUAAUUUUGCCAAAAUAAAUGCAUUAGUAAAGGACAUUGAACAUUAUUGUUUUACAUGUUUUUCAGUUUAAACAAAUGGGAUCACACUGAAUAUAUUUUUCUGAAAUUGCUUUUUGGUUCAAUAUUAAAUUUGUAAGAUUCAUUCUUAUGAUAUGUUUAUCUGUACUUUCUGUGCAUUGAUUUAGAGUAUUCCAUCACAGGAUAAUACUAUAAUGAGCAUUCCAUUUUAUUAGAUUGGGGUUAUUAUCCAUUUUUUUCUGUUACAAAAAGUAGAUGUCCUUUUCUUGUAUGAGUCUCCUGGACAUAAGAGUUAGAUUUUCUCUAAGGUAUAAACCCAACAUUCAAAUCAUUGUGUCAAAAGAUUUGUACACUAAGUUAAAAUGAACUGUUUUCCGAUUUAUGCUCCCAUGAGAAGUUAAAGGUUCUGAUAGAUCUAUAUUCUCAACAAUACCUAAUAGUAUCACAGUUUGUUUUUUUUUUUUUUUUUUGAGACAGAGUCUCGCUCUGUCACCCAGGCUGGAGUACAGUGGCGUGAUCUCGGCUCACUGCAAGCUCCGCCUUCUGGUUUCACACCAUUCUCCUGCCUCAGCCUCCUAAGUAGCUGGGACCACAGGUGCCUACCACCACGCCCGGCUAAUUUUUUGUAUUUUUGUUAGAGACGGGGUUUCACCGUGUUAGCCAGGUUGGUCUCGAUCUCCUGACUUUGUGAUCUGCCUGCCUUAGCCUCCCAUAAUGCUGGGAUUACAGGCAUGAGCCACCGUGCCUGGCCAGUAUCACACUUUUUAACAUUAGUUAACUUGGUUUGUCAUUGGAAUUUUAAUCUGCAUUUUUUAGAAGUACUGAAUCAAGAAAAAAAUCAAGUAAUGAAAAAAAUGUUAUUUUAGUAAAUAAAAAUGCUAUAAAGACAAUAAAGCAAGUGAACGUAGUCAAAAGCGGAGAGGGGCUACUUCAUUUUGAUAGUCAAAGAUGGCCUUGCUGGUCAUCUGAGUUGAGAGGUGGCUGGCAAGAUGAGAAGAGAUGUUAAGUAGCUGUGGAAGGGGCCUGCUGGCACAGGGCAUGCUCUAAGGCCCUGAAAAGAGGCAAACAUUCUUUCCCUCUAAAUACCUGAACUAAGUAAAAACAGUCCUGGCUUUGCACAUUUGAAUAUGCACAGGUUUAAUUAACAUAGUUUAGUUAAAUAGCACUAGUCUCCCAAAAACGUGGUUACAAUUUCAGUUACCACAAUAUGCUAACUGUGAGCAACUGCAUAAAAUCCAAACUUCGUUCCCAGCUCUUAAUUCCACAAAUGCCUAUGUGAGUAAAUAACAGGCAAGCAUCAUGAUUAGGGACUGUAUUAAUCUUGUGGGGAUGCUGCAACAAAGUAUGAAAAGCCGGGUUGCUUAAAACAACAGAAAUGUAUUGACUCGUAGUUGUGGAGGCUAGAAGUCAGAAAUCAAUGUGUUGGCAGGUUCAUGCUCUCUGCUGGCUCUAGGGGAGAAUCCUUCUUCCCCUCUCCUUCCUGUUUGGGUUUGCCAGCCAUCCUUGUUGUUGUCUGAUCUAUAGAUAUAUCACUCUGUUUUCUCUAUGUGUCUUCACAUCGUCUUUUUUUGUGUGUGUGUCUGGAGCUGUAUCCAAAUUCUCCUUUAUUAUAAGACACCAGUUAGUCUAUUGGAUUAGGACCCACCCUAAUGACCUCAUUUUAACUUGAGAACCUCUGUAAAUGUGCUAUUUCCAAAUAAGAUCAUAUUAUUUUGAGAUAUUGGGGAUUAGGAUUUCAAAUAUAUCUUUUUAGGGGGACACAAUUCACUUCCUUCAAAGCCUGUCAGUGACUGCUCACUGUGCAUCUGCUAGUUUGCACACAGACAGCAAAGUCUGCAAUCGUGUUGACUCCUUGUCUCCCAGUGAGAAACCCAUGUGACAUUUAUAAAUAUGAAUAAUCAGAAGAAAAAACUGGUCAACAACCAUUGAUGUGCAGCAAAGAAAUAAAAAAUGUGAUAACCCUGGAAGUGUAUUCAAAUACAAUGUAAAUGGAAUCAUAGAAUUGGCUCACCACAGGAAAUGCAGCAAGAGGAACUCGGCGCAACGCAGUGUUCUGACAUAAAUGAGGAACGCAGCUGUGAUGAAAAGGAUGAAGAAGCCCCAGAGGAAGUGAUGCCGGCAAAGACAGCAACAAACUUCAUAUUAAAGGAACUCUUGUAGAUAUUGCAUGACAAUGUUGACAAUGUUAGAUGCUGUUCCGAAAACAGCACGACAGUUCACCAAGGCAUAGAAACACUGCUGGCUCCUUAUCAUAAGCUAUACGACAAGAGGGAGGCAAGCACUGUUCAAACUGGGCUUGAUAUACGUCUAUAAAUAAAUAAAGCACUUUAAUUGGCUGUUGUUUAAUGUUUUAAAUUACAGUGUAAAAAUGAAGUACUCCCAACCAGGCACGGUGGCUCACUCCUGUAAUCCCAGCACUUUGGGAGGCUGAGGCGGAUAAUGAGGUCAGGAGAUCAAGAUCAUCCUGGCUAACACAGUGAAACCCUGUCUGUACUAAAAAUAGAAAAAAUC
Molecule: long non-coding RNA, 3700 nt
Filed under: Homo sapiens (human)
Lineage: Eukaryota; Metazoa; Chordata; Mammalia; Primates; Hominidae
Description: HSALNT0352209
Source: RNAcentral